GUCGUAAGGCUGGUGCUCAUCCUAGAAUGUUGGACAGCAGCGUUGAGCUAACCAACUACUGUCCUCCUGACACUGUUGAGACUUUCCUUGAAGAGCUAAACCACUCACAGGGUGAUGACUUGGAUGAUCAGGAAACGGCACCAGCACCACCACGGGCCUCUUCAGACUGGUCUACUCGAAAAAGUCUCCUCUCAGAGAGGUGGGAGAAAGAAAGAGCCUGUCUGGUGAAUACCAUGGUAGCACAACAAAAUGUGACAACUCAGAUCUGCCAACAAUGUGGCAUCAGUCCAGCUGCUGUCCGUUGUCGUGACUGCAGACCACAACCAUUUUUCUGUGCUGAUUGUGAUGUCAGUAUACACCGAAACCACGUAUUCCACAACAGGGAUGCAACAAUAGCUGGAUUCUUUCAGCCAUUGCCUCCAACAACCUGUGUCGUGGAGAGGGCUCUUUCCCAGUGUGUGUGUAUUGUGCCGUUGGAGAUGCCCAAAAAAAUAUGUAGUUGUUCUCCAGGAUCGUUGAGUGUCAACACAGGAAAAGUUGUUGCUGUGGUUACAAUGAAUGAUUGGGAAGAUCACAGCAGACAGCUUCAGAAAAAGUUUUUUGGAGUGGGAGGCUGUUAGAUUUGAGGUGGAUAAGAUCUGCAGGGAGGAGCAUUUUGUCUGCCCUGCAUGCACCCCAGACAUGCUUGCUGUUUCUGUGGAUGGAAAUCGCAAGCACUACCGCUUUAAGAAUGCAGCAAGAUCUGAAGAAAAAGCCUUAUUUGAUGGCAUCUUCAUUGCAAAAGAUGAUGAAGUAGAGAGAUUUGUGGAUUACAUUCAUUCUACCACCAACCAUGUCUCUGGAAGAGGUGUCUGUGGAGGGGAGUGGUCAGCUGCAAGGGAAACGUCUCAGAAAUCCUCAAGUAAAAUUGAUGAGGAGGGACUUGAGCUUGCAGUCUGUCGACAUGGAGUUUUUCUCACCGCUCUCAACAUGUUCAGGGGAGAAAUAUAUGCUUAUCCCCUCUACCUGCAGAACAAGCUGGCAAAUACGCCAAUAAGCUUUUUUGCCAUGGAUGUAACCUGCAAGUACUGGCCUUACCUCAACAAAGUCACAAAAAGCUGCCCGGAGCUCCAGCACCUUCUGAGCAUGAAACCAUUCCUCUCAGUGUUUCAUGCCAAAGCCCAUGAUUUUAAAUGCGAGGUUAAAUGGAGUGGAGCUUACCAGCAAGGGGCCGGAUUGACACUUGGCGAGGAGGUUGAGCAGUGUAACGCCUUCCUCUCUAGGAUUGCUGUGACCACGAAGCACAUGUCCAAAGCAGGACGUACUGACAUGCUUACAUUGAUGGCCAUGCGCUGGAAUCAGCAAAAGUUUAAUAACUUGGCUACUUCACUUGCCUGCCGAUAUCAGAAGGCCACAAAACGUCUGGAAAGCCAACUUCAGGACCUGGAAAGCAUGAGAAUCCAGCUGGCAGUGACACAGGUUGAAGUUGAGGGCUGGGUCACUGAUAUUAAGGAGUGGGCAGAAGCAACAACAUCCCAAAAGAAUGCCGAUCUUGACGCAGUGAUCAAUAGAAUAGAGGUGCUGGUGGCCAGCAUUAAAAGAAGGUCCCAGCGCCUUUACAAAGACACCGAUGGCAGCAAAGGUCGGGCCCGGAUCCGGCGCAAAAUCAGAGAGGAGAAGGCCAUUCUUAGCUCUGUUGUUGAAAAAUACAACAGUAUGGUUCCAGAUACAGAAAGAAUCGCCUUUGACAUCAUUCUCUCUGACGAGACAGUUUGGCCAUGGCAACUUUCACAUGGUGACGCUGUAGAUCUGAAAAUCAAGAGGAAUGCGUUUGAUGUUGUGAUGGCUAUAAGGAGACUUGAGGAGGAGAAGAAGAUUGUUCUUUCUGAGAUGGCAAAGCAUUGGAAAUCUCUCUCCACUCGUGCAGACACACUCAAGGAGAUGUCAUGCCAGCUUUCCAGUGAGCUGUGGGAUCUAAAUGAAGAAGGGAUCAAGGGUUUCCUCAGCUUAACUUUGAGAAAGAAGCAAGAAGUCACCAGAAUGAUGAAGCAUGCAAGAGACUGUUAUGCUAAAGUUUUGACUGGAACAAGUAUGGACUUCCAGAAUGAUUGGGAUGGAUACGACAGUGACUCUGAAUUGUCAGAUGAGUUUUAUGAGCUCUCAAGUGAGAAAUGAGCAUUAAGUCAUUUUUGUUGCAGAGUUUCCUUUUUAUGUUUUAUUUUGUUUAUUUUUUCUCCCACUCUAACAAUGCAGCCCUAUUUCUGAUACCGUAGGGGGUCAGAAAUGUUGCUGUGGGGGGCCACCACGGUCAAAUCAACAUGGAGGAAACACUGUUUGUGUGUCAGAUAUGCUUGAAUAAUAGUAUUCAUCAUAUCUACAUGUGACAUUACAACAAUAAUGAAUGUAAUUAAUUUAAGUAACUGUUUUUCCAAUAGUAAUCUUCUGUUUAUGGUAGAACAAAACUGUGCGGAAAAGUUUGCAGGAAGGUGUAAAUAUGUGCAUUGUAAUAAUAAUAAUAAACAUAAU
This is a long non-coding RNA of Cyprinus carpio carpio, 2505 nucleotides long. NCBI's taxonomy places the organism in Eukaryota, Metazoa, Chordata, Actinopteri, Cypriniformes, Cyprinidae. The record is from Ensembl.